RNAcentral lists this long non-coding RNA (695 nucleotides) under Oreochromis niloticus (Nile tilapia). Its description in RNAcentral is "lncRNA (ENSONIG00000028591.1)". Lineage: Eukaryota; Metazoa; Chordata; Actinopteri; Cichliformes; Cichlidae. The record is from RNAcentral.
GAGGGAAUCAUUCCCACAGGCCGUGGGAUGAGUGAGGUUUUCACCCAGGCUUGUGUGAUCUGUUGCUGGAGUACUCAUGCAGAUGGAAUAAAAGAGGUUAGAUGAUCAAGGCUGUUACCAGAAGACACAUCAAUAAAGUAGUGCAGCGAACUUCACACCGCCUCAGAAGGGCUGAGCAAGUUCACCUCAAGUCUCUUCAAGCCCUGGAGGUCUACUUUACUCUCUGGAUUCAACUUGUUUUCCCGCUGUUGCCAUCACCUCUGUGACUGAGCUGCAUCCAGGGUUCACGCAUUAAUCAGAAGACACACUUCUUAAAAAGGCAAAAAUCAGCUGUGCAUAAUUGAUGCACAAUUGGAAAGUAAAGCAGACAUUAAAGAGCAAAUACAAACGGCACUCUUUUACUCCCGGGUUGUCACAUUCAGUUUCCUCUGUGCACAUCAGAGAGAAACAAAAUAGGGCAGACGUGAUUUGAUUUCAUGACAUCUGUUUCACUAAUUACAGCAGUAUGUCUCUACAAUUAAUGCUGUGCUCUUCUCAUUGCCAUGCAGGGUAUUUGUGCUUUGAAGGAAUAGUUUGAAAUUUGGUAAAACACACUUGGUCUUUAAGUCUUUUUGCUGUGGUGAUAGAGCUGCAAGGCUGUAAGAUUAGCUCCACAUACAGUUUCAAGAAAGAGUUUGUGAACCCUAUAAAAUUAA